AGAGUUUGAUCAUGGCUCAGAUUGAACGCUGGCGGCAUGCCUUACACAUGCAAGUCGAACGGCAGCACGGGUACUUGUACCUGGUGGCGAGUGGCGAACGGGUGAGUAAUACAUCGGAACGUACCUUAUCGUGGGGGAUAACGCAGCGAAAGCUGUGCUAAUACCGCAUACGAUCUCAGGAUGAAAGCAGGGGACCGCAAGGCCUUGUGCUCCUGGAGCGGCCGAUAUCUGAUUAGCUAGUUGGUGGGGUAAAGGCCCACCAAGGCAACGAUCAGUAGCUGGUCUGAGAGGACGACCAGCCACACUGGAACUGAGACACGGUCCAGACUCCUACGGGAGGCAGCAGUGGGGAAUUUUGGACAAUGGGGGCAACCCUGAUCCAGCAAUGCCGCGUGAGUGAAGAAGGCCUUCGGGUUGUAAAGCUCUUUUGUCAGGGAAGAAACACCGGCUCUAACACAGUCCGGGAAUGACGGUACCUGAAGAAUAAGCACCGGCUAACUACGUGCCAGCAGCCGCGGUAAUACGUAGGGUGCAAGCGUUAAUCGGAAUUACUGGGCGUAAAGCGUGCGCAGGCGGUUAUACAAGACAGGCGUGAAAUCCCCGGGCUUAACCUGGGAAUGGCGCCUGUGACUGUAUAGCUAGAGUGUGUCAGAGGGGGGUAGAAUUCCACGUGUAGCAGUGAAAUGCGUAGAUAUGUGGAGGAAUACCAAUGGCGAAAGCAGCCCCCUGGGAUAACACUGACGCUCAUGCACGAAAGCGUGGGGAGCAAACAGGAUUAGAUACCCUGGUAGUCCACGCCCUAAACGAUGCUGACUAGUUGUUCGGGAUUUUCAUCCUGAGUAACGUAGCUAACGCGUGAAGUCAGCCGCCUGGGGAGUACGGUCGCAAGAUUAAAACUCAAAGGAAUGACGGGGACCCGCACA
This 923-nucleotide ribosomal RNA is filed under the name uncultured bacterium. RNAcentral describes it as "bacterial SSU rRNA". It matches the Rfam family "Bacterial small subunit ribosomal RNA", at positions 8 to 927 of the family's 1533-position model. The record is from RNAcentral.